GAUGAACGCUGACAGAAUGCUUAACACAUGCAAGUCUACUUGAACUUCGGUUUGGGUGGCGGACGGGUGAGUAACGCGUAAAGAACUUGCCUCACAGUUAGGGACAACAUUUGGAAACGAAUGCUAAUACCUGAUAUUAUGAUUUUAGGGCAUCCUAGGAUUAUGAAAGCUAUAUGUGCUGUGAGAGAGCUUUGCGUCCCAUUAGCUAGUUGGAGAGGUAACGGCUCACCAAGGCGAUGAUGGGUAGCCGGCCUGAGAGGGUGAACGGCCACAAGGGGACUGAGACACGGCCCUUACUCCUACGGGAGGCAGCAGUGGGGAAUAUUGGACAAUGGACCAAAAGUCUGAUCCAGCAAUUCUGUGUGCACGAUGACGUUUUUCGGAAUGUAAAGUGCUUUCAGUUGGGAAGAAAAAAAUGACGGUACCAACAGAAGAAGUGACGGCUAAAUACGUG
This 454-nucleotide ribosomal RNA is filed under the name uncultured bacterium. RNAcentral describes it as "partial 16S ribosomal RNA". It matches the Rfam family "Bacterial small subunit ribosomal RNA", at positions 28 to 507 of the family's 1533-position model. The record is from RNAcentral.